GAGGGUAUAGCUCAGUGGUAGAGCACAUGCUUAGCAUGCACGAGGUCCUGGGUUCGAUCCCCACUACCUCUG
Molecule: transfer RNA, 72 nt
Filed under: Camelus bactrianus (Bactrian camel)
Lineage: Eukaryota; Metazoa; Chordata; Mammalia; Artiodactyla; Camelidae
Also listed under: 3 other names
Rfam family: tRNA
About the family: Transfer RNA (tRNA) molecules are approximately 80 nucleotides in length. Their secondary structure includes four short double-helical elements and three loops (D, anti-codon, and T loops).
Source: Rfam by way of RNAcentral